Molecule: ribosomal RNA, 404 nt
Filed under: Fusobacteriota bacterium
Lineage: Bacteria; Fusobacteriati; Fusobacteriota
Description: Fusobacteria bacterium partial 16S ribosomal RNA
Rfam family: Bacterial small subunit ribosomal RNA
Source: RNAcentral
UGGGGAAUAUUGCACAAUGGGGGAAACCCUGAUGCAGCGACGCCGCGUGAAGGAUGAAGUAUUUCGGUAUGUAAACUUCUAUCAGCAGGGAAGAAAAUGACGGUACCUGACUAAGAAGCCCCGGCUAACUACGUGCCAGCAGCCGCUGUAAUACGUAGGGGGCAAGCGUUAUCCGGAUUUACUGGGUGUAAAGGGAGCGUAGACGGCUGUGCAAGUCUGGAGUGAAAACCCGGGGCUCAACCCCGGGAUUGCUUUGGAAACUGUGUAGCUGGAGUACCGGAGAGGCAAGUGGAAUUCCUAGUGUAGCGGUGAAAUGCGUAGAUAUUAGGAGGAACACCAGUGGCGAAGGCGGCUUGCUGGACGGUAACUGACGUUGAGGCUCGAAAGCGUGGGGAGCAAACAGG